CCCUUAGAUGUCCGGGGCCGCACGCGCGCUACACUGAAGGAAUCAGCGUGGCUUUCUCCCUGACCCGAAAGGGUUGGGAAACCCGUUGAAUCUCCUUCGUGAUAGGGAUUGGGGCUUGAAAUUGUUCCCCAUGAACGAGGAAUUCCCAGUAAGCGCGAGUCAUAAGCUCGCGUUGAUUACGUCCCUGCCCUUUGUACACACCGCCCGUCGCUACUACCGAUUGAACGGUUUAGUGAGGGCCUCGGUUUGGUCUCGGCCCGCUCUUUACCGGGCGGCGCCGUUGGUCGAGAAGACGCUCGAACUUGAUCGUUUAGAGGAAGUAAAAGUCGUAACA
Molecule: ribosomal RNA, 334 nt
Filed under: uncultured eukaryote
Lineage: Eukaryota
Description: partial 18S ribosomal RNA
Rfam family: Eukaryotic small subunit ribosomal RNA
Source: RNAcentral